This 74-nucleotide transfer RNA is filed under the name Nocardia aurantia. RNAcentral describes it as "tRNA-Arg". It matches the Rfam family "tRNA". Rfam says of the family: Transfer RNA (tRNA) molecules are approximately 80 nucleotides in length. Their secondary structure includes four short double-helical elements and three loops (D, anti-codon, and T loops). Lineage: Bacteria; Bacillati; Actinomycetota; Actinomycetes; Mycobacteriales; Nocardiaceae. The record is from RNAcentral.
GCCCUCGUAGCUCAGGGGAUAGAGCGCUUGCCUCCGGAGCAAGAGGCCGCAGGUUCGAAUCCUGCCGAGGGCAC